GAGGAAUCUUCCACAAUGGGCGAAAGCCUGAUGGAGCAAUACCGCGUGCAGGAAGACGCUUUUCGGAGUGUAAACUGCUUUUCUGAAGGAAGAUUAUGACGGUACUUCAGGAAUAAGGAUCGGCGAACUACGUGCCAGCAGCCGCGGUAAUACGUAGGAUCCAAGCGUUAUCCGGAAUUACUGGGCGUAAAGCGUGCGCAGACGGUUUGAUAGGUCAGUUGCGAAAUCCUAUGGCUCAACCAUAUGGACUGUGACUGAAACCAUCUGACUAGAGGUAGGUAGAGGCAAGUGGAAUUUCUGGUGUAGGGGUGACAUCCGUAGAUAUCAGAAGGAACACCAAUGGCGAAGGCAGCUUGCUGGGCCUUACCUGACGUUCAGGCACGAAAGCGUGGGGAGCAAAC
RNAcentral lists this ribosomal RNA (401 nucleotides) under uncultured bacterium. Its description in RNAcentral is "bacterial SSU rRNA". It matches the Rfam family "Bacterial small subunit ribosomal RNA", at positions 356 to 773 of the family's 1533-position model. The record is from RNAcentral.